CCACCAGCCGUGCUGUUCUGGAUCAGGUCAACCUGAGUCGCAAUUCUGUUCGUCUCAGAAAGAAGUCCAAAGAGAUGGUAAAUAUUGAGUUUCACACGACGAGUAGCAAAUACAAGUUUCCAGUGUCGACCAAGGAGGCUGGAAACAUGGUCACUUUCAGAGGUUCAGACGGAUCCAGGUUUCAAGU
Molecule: long non-coding RNA, 187 nt
Organism: Lates calcarifer (barramundi perch)
Lineage: Eukaryota; Metazoa; Chordata; Actinopteri; Centropomidae
Exons: 3
Source: RefSeq, a predicted model, not a curated record